Molecule: ribosomal RNA, 433 nt
Filed under: Corbicula largillierti
Lineage: Eukaryota; Metazoa; Mollusca; Bivalvia; Venerida; Cyrenidae
Description: partial 16S ribosomal RNA
Rfam family: Bacterial large subunit ribosomal RNA
Source: RNAcentral
GGCCUUUUGGAGAUUUAUAUAAAAGGUUGGGCCUGCCCGGUGAUCUGAAAUGGUUUAACGGCUGCGAUUGAAACCGUACUAAGGUAGCAUAAUAAUUUGCCCUUUAAUUGGGGGAGAGAAUGAAUGGUUUGACGGUAAAAAAGCUGUUUUAAAAAUAAAAAAAGAAGUUAACUUUUAAGUGAAAAGGCUUAAGUUUUUAUAAAAGACGAGAAGACCCCGUCGAGCUUAAUUAGAAUAACUUAAAUGUAGGUUAUUUAAAAUUUUAUUGGGGCAAUAGAAAAUGAAAUGAAUCAUUUUUUUUAUCAUAAGGAUCCAGUUUUGACUGAAAAAAGCAAAAGCUACCGCGGGGAUAACAGGGUAAUUUUUUCUGAGAGUUCAUAUUUAAGAAGAAGUUUGCUACCUCGAUGUUGGAUUACAAUUUCUUUAUGCUUGC